RNAcentral lists this ribosomal RNA (468 nucleotides) under uncultured Desulfosarcina sp. Its description in RNAcentral is "bacterial SSU rRNA". It matches the Rfam family "Bacterial small subunit ribosomal RNA", at positions 335 to 795 of the family's 1533-position model. The record is from RNAcentral. Lineage: Bacteria; Pseudomonadati; Thermodesulfobacteriota; Desulfobacteria; Desulfobacterales; Desulfosarcinaceae.
GUCCUACGGGGGGCAGCAGUGAGGAAUUUUGCGCAAUGGGCGAAAGCCUGACGCAGCAACGCCGCGUGAGUGAUGAAGGCCUUCGGGUCGUAAAGCUCUGUCAAGUGGGAAGAACCUAUAUAAUGCCAAUACCAUUAUAUAUUGACGGUACCACUGAAGGAAGCACCGGCUAACUCCGUGCCAGCAGCCGCGGUAAUACGGGGGGUGCAAGCGUUAUUCGGAAUCAUUGGGCGUAAAGAGCACGUAGGCGGCCUGGUAAGUCAGAUGUGAAAGCCCGGGGCUUAACCCCGGAAGUGCAUUUGAUACUGUCAGGCUUGAGUAUGGGAGAGGGAAGUGGAAUUCCUGGUGUAGAGGUGAAAUUCGUAGAUAUCAGGAGGAACACCGGUGGCGAAGGCGACUUCCUGGACCAAUACUGACGCUGAGGUGCGAAGGCGUGGGUAGCAAACAGGAUUAGAUACCCUAGUAGUC